GGGGGUGACUGGUUUCGACUUCGUACGCAGCGACAGGGGAAGCGAGCCGAGGAAGCCGACGUCGUCUCGAGAAUCGGUCGUCGGAAACUUAUAAGCGCCAAGCAAAAUCGCGCUGACUUCGCUCUCGCCGCCUGAGGCGAGUAGCUGAGUCUGUCGGCCUGGGAACGCCUUCGUCCCAAUAGCCGGCAUCAGUUAGAGGGCUGGCCAAUCGGACCCGGUCGCGGGGUCCGUGCGGCGAGAUUAAUCAGCGACUGGGCCCGUCACACCAACUCGCUCGCGUGAGCGGUGGGGCCGAGUAGAGGCAUAGCGAGCUGCGCUCGGAGAAGCCCUGACAAACCGGCGAAGGACCCGGGUUCGAUUCCCGGCACCUCCACCC
This 376-nucleotide transfer-messenger RNA is filed under the name Micromonospora matsumotoense. RNAcentral describes it as "Standard tmRNA". It matches the Rfam family "transfer-messenger RNA". From Rfam's summary of the family: Bacterial tmRNA, also known as 10Sa RNA or SsrA, is named for its dual tRNA and mRNA-like properties. Its role is to liberate the mRNA from a stalled ribosome. To accomplish this part of the tmRNA is used as a reading frame that ends in a translation stop signal. The record is from RNAcentral. Lineage: Bacteria; Bacillati; Actinomycetota; Actinomycetes; Micromonosporales; Micromonosporaceae.